This 59-nucleotide transfer RNA is filed under the name Scutopus ventrolineatus. RNAcentral's name for it is "tRNA-Ser". Lineage: Eukaryota; Metazoa; Mollusca; Caudofoveata; Limifossorida; Scutopodidae. The record is from RNAcentral.
AUUAUUUAAAUAAGUUUAUUUUGAAAAUAAAUAGGAAGUGGUAAAGCACUUAAGUAAUU